GGUUGCGAUCAUACCAGCAAUAAUG
RNAcentral lists this ribosomal RNA (25 nucleotides) under Sanguisorba minor. RNAcentral also lists the same sequence under 3 other names. Lineage: Eukaryota; Viridiplantae; Streptophyta; Magnoliopsida; Rosales; Rosaceae. The record is from RNAcentral.